RNAcentral lists this ribosomal RNA (715 nucleotides) under uncultured bacterium. RNAcentral's name for it is "bacterial SSU rRNA". It matches the Rfam family "Bacterial small subunit ribosomal RNA", at positions 61 to 765 of the family's 1533-position model. The record is from RNAcentral.
GUCGAGGGGCAGCAUGGAGAGUAGCAAUACUCUCUGAUGGCGACCGGCGCAAGGCUGCGUAACGCGUGAGCAACUUGCCCUCAUCAGGGGAAUAAUCGCUGGAAACGGCGUCUAAUGCCCCAUGGUGAUGGAAUCAGGCAUCUGAAUCCAUCUAAAGAUUCGUCGGAUGAGGAUAGGCUCGCGUGACAUUAGCUUGACGGCGGGGUAACGGCCCACCGUGGCGACGAUGUCUAGGGGUUCUGAGAGGAAGGUCCCCCACACUGGAACUGAGACACGGUCCAGACUCCUACGGGAGGCAGCAGUGAGGAAUAUUGGUCAAUGGCCGGAAGGCUGAACCAGCCAUGCCGCGUGAAGGUCAGUGCCCUAUGGGCGUUAAACUUCUUUUGUGCGGGAGCAAUAAGGUCCACGCGUGGGCCGACGAGAGUACCGUACGAAUAAGCAUCGGCUAACUCCGUGCCAGCAGCCGCGGUAAUACGGGGGAUGCAAGCGUUAUCCGGAUUUAUUGGGUUUAAAGGGUGCGUAGGCUGUGAGGUAAGUCAGCGGUGAAAUGCCCCCGCUCAACGGGGUGAAGUGCCAUUGAUACUGCCUUGCUGGAAUGCGGAUGCCGUGGGAGGAAUGUGUGGUGUAGCGGUGAAAUGCAUAGAUAUCACACAGAACACCGAUUGCGAAGGCAUCUCACGAAUCCGCGAUUGACGCUGAUGCACGAAAGCGUGGG